RNAcentral lists this ribosomal RNA (401 nucleotides) under bacterium. RNAcentral's name for it is "partial 16S ribosomal RNA". It matches the Rfam family "Bacterial small subunit ribosomal RNA", at positions 355 to 775 of the family's 1533-position model. The record is from RNAcentral.
UGGGGAAUUUUGCACAAUGGGGGAAACCCUGAUGCAGCGACGCCGCGUGAUUUAGAAGGCCUUCGGGUUGUAAAAAUCUUUUCUAUGGGAAGAAAAUGACAGUACCAUAGGAAUAAGGACCGGCUAAUUACGUGCCAGCAGCCGCGGUAAUACGUAAGGUCCGAGCGUUGUCCGGAAUCAUUGGGCGUAAAGGGUACGUAGGCGGGUAAGCAAGUUAGAAGUGAAAUCCUAUAGCUCAACUAUAGUAAGCUUUUAAAACUGCUCAUCUUGAGGUAUGGAAGGGAAAGUGGAAUUCCUAGUGUAGCGGUGUAAUGCGCAGAUAUUAGGAGGAAUACCGGUGGCGAAGGCGACUUUCUGGCCAUAACCUGACGCUGAGGUACGAAAGCGUGGGUAGCAAACAG